GCUCCGAUAGCCUAGUGGUUAGAGCAUCCGCCUCUGAUGCGGGAGGUCGUGGGUUCGAUCCCCGGUCGUCAUA
Potamilus streckersoni is the source of this 73-nucleotide non-coding RNA. NCBI's taxonomy places the organism in Eukaryota, Metazoa, Mollusca, Bivalvia, Unionida, Unionidae. The record is from the annotation of a GenBank genome assembly.